AGGCAGCAGUGGGGAAUAUUGGACAAUGGGCGAAAGCCUGAUCCAGCCAUGCCGCGUGUGUGAAGAAGGCCUUCGGGUUGUAAAGCACUUUAAGCGAGGAGGAAGGUUCGUUACUUAAUACGUAACGGAAUUGACGUUACUCGCAGAAUAAGCACCGGCUAACUCUGUGCCAGCAGCCGCGGUAAUACAGAGGGUGCAAGCGUUAAUCGGAAUUACUGGGCGUAAAGCGCGCGUAGGCGGUUGUGUAAGUUGGAUGUGAAAUCCCCCGGGCUUAACCUGGGCACUGCAUUCAAAACUGCACGGCUAGAGUAUGGGAGAGGAAGGUAGAAUUCCAGGUGUAGCGGUGAAAUGCGUAGAGAUCUGGAGGAAUACCGAUGGCGAAGGCAGCCUUCUGGCCUAAUACUGACGCUGAGGUGCGAAAGCAUGGGGAGCAAACAGGAUUAGAUACCCUGGUAGUCCAUGCCGUAAACGAUGUCGACUAGGUGUUGGGGAACUUGAUUCCUUAGUGCCGCAGCUAACGCAUUAAGUCGACCGCCUGGGGAGUACGGUCGCAAGACUAAAACUCANAUGAAUUGACGGGGGC
This 583-nucleotide ribosomal RNA is filed under the name uncultured Gammaproteobacteria bacterium. RNAcentral's name for it is "bacterial SSU rRNA". It matches the Rfam family "Bacterial small subunit ribosomal RNA", at positions 346 to 920 of the family's 1533-position model. The record is from RNAcentral. Lineage: Bacteria; Pseudomonadati; Pseudomonadota; Gammaproteobacteria.